Molecule: ribosomal RNA, 468 nt
Filed under: uncultured bacterium
Lineage: Bacteria
Description: partial 16S ribosomal RNA
Rfam family: Bacterial small subunit ribosomal RNA
Source: RNAcentral
GACGAACGCUGGCGGCGUGCUUAACACAUGCAAGUCGAACGGAAAGGCCCUGCUUUUGUGGGGUGCUCGAGUGGCGAACGGGUGAGUAACACGUGAGUAACCUGCCCUUGACUUUGGGAUAACUUCAGGAAACUGGGGCUAAUACCGGAUAGGAGCUCCUGCUGCAUGGUGGGGGUUGGAAAGUUUCGGCGGUUGGGGAUGGACUCGCGGCUUAUCAGCUUGUUGGUGGGGUAGUGGCUUACCAAGGCUUUGACGGGUAGCCGGCCUGAGAGGGUGACCGGCCACAUUGGGGCUGAGAUACGGCCCAGGCUCCUACGGGGGGCCGCCGUGGGGCAUCUUGCGCGAUGGGCGGAAGCCUGAUGCCGCAACGCCGCGUCCGGGAUGACGGCCUUCGGGUUGUAACCCGCUUUCGCCUGUGACCAAGCGUGUGUGGCGGUAAUGGGUAAAGACGCCCCGGCUAACUCCGGG